RNAcentral lists this long non-coding RNA (314 nucleotides) under Heterocephalus glaber (naked mole-rat). Its description in RNAcentral is "lncRNA (ENSHGLG00000039653.1)". The record is from RNAcentral. Lineage: Eukaryota; Metazoa; Chordata; Mammalia; Rodentia; Bathyergidae.
CCCAGGGCGGGCGAAACACUAGUGCUCAAGUGCGCAAAGUGCAAGCUUCGAGGAAGCUCCCGUGAAUAAAAACAGCAAAACCGGAGCAGCGACCCUACUCACAAAGCGAACAGUCCCAGCCCACACGGCGACGCCAAGCCCAGAUAACGCAGGAAAGGAGUACUUACAGCCGGCGUGCGUUUGGGGAUUGAACUUGGGACCUUGCACUUGCAAGGCUGGUGGCAGAACCACUGAGCUAAAUUCCUGGCCUAAAUGUUUGUUUGUUUGUUUGUUUUUUGCGGUACUGGGGAUGGAACUCUGGACCUUGAGCUUAC